This 477-nucleotide ribosomal RNA is filed under the name uncultured bacterium. Its description in RNAcentral is "partial 16S ribosomal RNA". It matches the Rfam family "Bacterial small subunit ribosomal RNA", at positions 28 to 507 of the family's 1533-position model. The record is from RNAcentral.
GAUUAACGCUGGCGGCGUGCAUAACACAUGCAAGUCGAACGAUGAAACUUUAAUGAACCCUUCGGGGAGAAUUAAAGCGGAUUAGUGGCGAACGGGUGAGUAACGCGUGAGUAACCUGCCUUACACAAGGGGAUAGCCUUUGGAAACGAAGAAUAAUACCCUAUAAAACCAUAAAAGCACAUGCAAUUAUGGUCAAAGUGAUAGCGGUGUAAGAUGGACUUGCGUCUGAUUAGCUAGUUGGUGAGAUAAAAGCCCACCAAGGCAACGAUCAGUAGCCGGCUUGAGAGAGUGUACGGCCACAUUGGGACUGAGCCACGGCCCAGACUCCUACGGGAGGCAGCAGUGGGGAAUUUUGCACAAUGGGGGAAACCCUGAUGCAGCGACGCCGCGUGAUUUAGAAGGCCUUCGGGUUGUAAAAAUCUUUUGUAUAGGAAGAAAAUGACAGUACUAUACGAAUAAGGUCCGGCUAAUUACGUG